This 94-nucleotide ribosomal RNA is filed under the name Prolemur simus (greater bamboo lemur). The record is from RNAcentral. Lineage: Eukaryota; Metazoa; Chordata; Mammalia; Primates; Lemuridae.
UAUGGCCAUGCCACCCUGAACGUGCCUGAUCUUGGAAGCUAAGCAGGGUCAGGCCUGGUUAGUACUUGGAUGGGAGAACUCAGUUCAACCCUAA